AAUUUGGAACACAGUCAAGCAAAAAAUUCCAUCUUUUAGGUGAACGUGAAAAUAAUGUAUAUCCGCUGCAUUAACAAAUCAAACUCAGUGAUCAUUUCAACACAUGGUAAGAAGUUACCGUUAUUGUCGUGGUAAAGCUUCUCCCUAGAUCCUCGAAAAGCCAAACUAUGUUUACUAAGAUAUUUCACAACAACAACUGUUCUUACCAAUACAUGUCUCAAGCACUCAUUUUGAUGAGGACAUCACUCCUUUGUAUACACACAAUACUCCUCAAGUUGAUGCAAGGUCCAAUCACUAGAGCUUAUGCACGAAAUUGCAUUUGACAGGUGAGCUUGUUCCUAUGUAAUACUAUUUUUUAUUUUCGAUCUUCUCAAUAAGGGACAAAAAAUAGAAAAACUAUAUGAAGAAGCAACUCAAGAUGAUGU
RNAcentral lists this small RNA (425 nucleotides) under Oryza sativa Japonica Group (Japanese rice). RNAcentral's name for it is "sRNA Os04g0134101". Lineage: Eukaryota; Viridiplantae; Streptophyta; Magnoliopsida; Poales; Poaceae. The record is from RNAcentral.